UGGGGAAUAUUGGACAAUGGGCGAAAGCCUGAUCCAGCCAUGCCGCGUGUGUGAAGAAGGCCUUUUGGUUGUAAAGCACUUUAAGCGAGGAGGAGGCUACUUGGAUUAAUACUCUAGGAUAGUGGACGUUACUCGCAGAAUAAGCACCGGCUAAAUCUGUGCCAGCAGCCGCGGUAAUACAGAGGGUGCGAGCGUUAAUCGGAUUUACUGGGCGUAAAGCGUGCGUAGGCGGCUUCUUAAGUCGGAUGUGAAAUCCCUGAGCUUAACUUAGGAAUUGCAUUCGAUACUGGGAAGCUAGAGUAUGGGAGAGGAUGGUAGAAUUCCAGGUGUAGCGGUGAAAUGCGUAGAGAUCUGGAGGAAUACCGAUGGCGAAGGCAGCCAUCUGGCCUAAUACUGACGCUGAGGUACGAAAGCAUGGGGAGCAAACAGG
This 430-nucleotide ribosomal RNA is filed under the name Acidobacteriota bacterium. Its description in RNAcentral is "Acidobacteria bacterium partial 16S ribosomal RNA". It matches the Rfam family "Bacterial small subunit ribosomal RNA", at positions 355 to 776 of the family's 1533-position model. Lineage: Bacteria; Pseudomonadati; Acidobacteriota. The record is from RNAcentral.